This 29-nucleotide non-coding RNA is filed under the name Rattus norvegicus (Norway rat). Lineage: Eukaryota; Metazoa; Chordata; Mammalia; Rodentia; Muridae. The record is from RNAcentral.
UGAAAGUUUCUGGUCCGGUUUUCAGUUGA